Molecule: ribosomal RNA, 465 nt
Filed under: Vreelandella stevensii
Lineage: Bacteria; Pseudomonadati; Pseudomonadota; Gammaproteobacteria; Oceanospirillales; Halomonadaceae
Description: partial 16S ribosomal RNA
Rfam family: Bacterial small subunit ribosomal RNA
Source: RNAcentral
CCUACGGGUGGCAGCAGUGGGGAAUAUUGGACAAUGGGCGAAAGCCUGAUCCAGCCAUGCCGCGUGUGUGAAGAAGGCCUUCGGGUUGUAAAGCACUUUCAGUGGGGAAGAAAGCCUUGGGGCUAAUACCCUCGAGGAAGGACAUCACCCACAGAAGAAGCACCGGCUAACUCCGUACCAGCAGCCGCGGUAAUACGGAGGGUGCGAGCGUUAAUCGGAAUUACUGGGCGUAAAGCGCGCGUAGGCGGUCUGAUAAGCCGGUUGUGAAAGCCCCGGGCUCAACCUGGGAACGGCAUCCGGAACUGUCAGGCUAGAGUGCAGGAGAGGAAGGUAGAAUUCCCGGUGUAGCGGUGAAAUGCGUAGAGAUCGGGAGGAAUACCAGUGGCGAAGGCGGCCUUCUGGACUGACACUGACGCUGAGGUGCGAAAGCGUGGGUAGCAAACAGGAUUAGAUACCCUUGUAGUC